RNA transcript from Gossypium arboreum, 1386 nucleotides. It is a transcript of the gene named peroxisome biogenesis protein 5-like, with no coding region annotated. The transcript has 8 exons. The record is from RefSeq and is a predicted model, not a curated record. Lineage: Eukaryota; Viridiplantae; Streptophyta; Magnoliopsida; Malvales; Malvaceae.
GCUGCUUUUUUUUAUAAAUGCCGCAACUGUCAUUUUUUUUUUUACCAAAACUCUAUCGUUUUAGUUUCAUCCAAUUUAUUCCAAGUGCUCCCGAUAGCUGUUCUUUUUCCCCUUAACAAAAUUUCCCCAAUUCCUUCUCUUCUCCUUUAAUCCCUAAAUUUUCAUCCCCAAGUUCCCAACCCAUUUGCCACCGAAGACACAAACCGGACCACCUGGUGCAUCGCCCUCGACUAACCCCUCUGCUGCGUCGCUGUCGCUGUUGCCGUUGCCGUCGGUCUCUACUGCCACAGCCAAUCGGCUAUUGCAGCAAUGAUGCGUGCUCAGGAGGCCGAUCCUAUCAAUCUGGAAGUACUUCUUGCUCUUGGUGUGAGUCAUACAAAUGAAUUGGAACAAACUGUUGCUUUAAAGUAUCUGUAUGGAUGGUUACGUCAUCACUCAAAGUAUGGUACUCUUGCACCACCGGAGCUUGCUAAUUCCUUGUAUUAUGCAUAUGCACUAAAUUUGAAGCCAAACUAUGUGCGUGCUUGGGCAAACAUGGGUAUCAGUUACGCCAACCAGUGUUUCCAGGUUAGCUCAGGUUGGAGUUCGUCGGAGAUAUUAUCACACUGUCAAGCUAUUGCUAUUGGUGUUAGCUCGGGUUGGAGUUUGUCGGAGAUAUUAUCACACUGUCAAGCUAUCGCUAUUGGUUUGGUUGAGUUUACGUCCGGUAACACCUCGAACCCUAUCCCGACAUUGGAUACGGGGGAUCGGUGUUACAGUUAGUGGUAGUCGAGGUACUACAAGGGAUUCAACAGUUAAAUCUAAAGCAUGAGCACCGGUAAGGACUUGUGCUAUUCGUACUAAAGAAUAUGCUUCUGCACAAGACGUCAAUACUGAGGAAUUACAUGGUUUACCACCGGUUAGAGAAGUGGAGUUCUCUAUAGCCAUUGUUUCGGGGAAAGCACUGAUAUUCAUAGCACCUUACAGAAUGGCUCUUACCGAACUGAAAUAGUUCACAGCACAGUUGCAAGAAUUGAUUGACAGAGGCUUUGCUCGACCUAGUUUCUCACCUUGGGGUGCACCAGUUUUGUUUGUAAAGAAGAAAGAUGGAUCAUUGAGGUUGUGUAUUGAUUAUAGACAACUUAACAUAGUUACAAUUAAUAACAAGUAUCCACUGCCUCGAAUUGAUGAUCUAUUUGACCAGUUGAAAUGUUUCAUUGUAUUUUCGAAGAUUGAUUUUCAUUUCGAUUACUAUUAGUUACGGGUAAAAGAGUCAGAUGUUCCAAAGACAGCUUUCAAAACCAGGUAUGGGCACUAUGAGUUUCUUGUAAUGUUUUUUGGCUUAACAAAGGCACUUGUAGUAUUCAUGGAUUUGAUGAGUAGAAUUUUCAAACUGUAUCUAAAUAA